GCCAGUGUGGCUCAGUGGUUAAAGCGUCUGCCUGUGAACCAGGAGGUCAGGGUUCGAUUCCCGGUCAGGGCA
This 72-nucleotide transfer RNA is filed under the name Myotis brandtii (Brandt's bat). It matches the Rfam family "tRNA". Rfam says of the family: Transfer RNA (tRNA) molecules are approximately 80 nucleotides in length. Their secondary structure includes four short double-helical elements and three loops (D, anti-codon, and T loops). Further hydrogen bonds mediate the characteristic L-shaped molecular structure. tRNAs have two regions of fundamental functional importance: the anti-codon, which is responsible for specific mRNA codon recognition, and the 3' end, to which the tRNAs corresponding amino acid is attached (by aminoacyl-tRNA synthetases). tRNAs cope with the degeneracy of the genetic code in two manners: having more than one tRNA (with a specific anti-codon) for a particular amino acid; and 'wobble' base-pairing, i.e. permitting non-standard base-pairing at the 3rd anti-codon position. The record is from Rfam by way of RNAcentral. Lineage: Eukaryota; Metazoa; Chordata; Mammalia; Chiroptera; Vespertilionidae.